RNAcentral lists this long non-coding RNA (1126 nucleotides) under Mus musculus (house mouse). RNAcentral describes it as "predicted gene 20544". Lineage: Eukaryota; Metazoa; Chordata; Mammalia; Rodentia; Muridae. The record is from RNAcentral.
ACUGCCACCCUCUCCCAGGUCUAGAGAGGGGUACCCACGGUGGAGGGAGGUGGGAGGCCGAGACGGCCCCGGGGGUCGGCGGAGACCCAGCGGGAGCAGGGGGAAAUCGGAAGAGCUGGGGGCAUGGAGCGGGCGAGUUUGGAGCGGAAUGAGCCGGGAGCCCUACGUUGUGGAAGGAAGACAACAGUAUAGGACCAUCAGCAGGACCGGACAGAGAGGGCCCUGGCUGUCCUGGAACUUGUAGACCAGGCUGGCCUUGAACUCAGAAAUCCGCCUGCCUCUGACUCCCGAGUGCUGAGAUUAAAGGUGUGCACCACCACACCCGACAAGGAAGCCUGUUUUAAGAAGUGAUUCCAUGGAGGAGUUCUGCGGCGGCUCAGGGCUUGACUAAACAGUGGACCUCAGACAAGAGAGGCUAAACCAGGCUGCAGGUGACAGGAAGAAUUGAAUAAACUGAAAGCAAAGGGCAGCCUUCUAAUUACGCUUCGUGGCUAUGUGGACAACCUGGAGAAGUCUGGAAACGUGAGUGGUGCUAAUCCCCUUUGUAAUGAAAGGCCCGGGUAAAAACAGAUGGGGCAAGUAGGUGUAAUGGGUAUUUCAGGAGCUUGAAUCUGAUGUCACAGCUUGUCUGGAUGGGACGUGCAUCUACUUGCAGAGCUAUGUUCCCAUCUAGUGUAAUUGUGGGUGUUUUAAUUCAGGCGUCACCUCUAUUUUGUCCUCUCUCCACAGCUUUCCUCCUCCAUUUUACUACUUGAGGGAGCAGUGGGUGGGAUACUAGGCAAGUAGCUGCAAUGGCUGGUGCUUUAUGGUUCCCUGGCAUCCCCUGAAUCUGUUAACAUCCCAACCUUCUUGACAGCCAGCCCCACCCCAUCACAUUCUUACUCCUUCCCUUUCCAAGAAAGAAGCCAGAAGCCCGAAGCCAGCAGUAGAGCUCUGACUGGCUUGUAUGCCUAGAAAGGAAGGGCUCUUCUUUCGCCUCACGGGCACAAAUGGGACCCACGAGCGCCGAUUUCAGACUAUUCUGAUCCCUUCAAAAAGAAAGUUAGGAGUCCAGGCUACUGUGAGUGAAUUUGAUUCUAAUUGUUUCAGAGAAUAUGGAAUAAAAUAUCUCAUUUGCAGUUGUUUA